The sequence is a transfer RNA, 73 nucleotides long. It matches the Rfam family "tRNA". Rfam says of the family: Transfer RNA (tRNA) molecules are approximately 80 nucleotides in length. Their secondary structure includes four short double-helical elements and three loops (D, anti-codon, and T loops). The record is from Rfam.
GGGGGUGUAGCUCAGCUGGGAGAGCACCUGCCUUGCAAGCAGGGGGUCAGCGGUUCGAUUCCGCUCAUCUCCA